RNAcentral lists this ribosomal RNA (492 nucleotides) under uncultured bacterium. RNAcentral describes it as "partial 16S ribosomal RNA". It matches the Rfam family "Bacterial small subunit ribosomal RNA", at positions 30 to 523 of the family's 1533-position model. The record is from RNAcentral.
AUUGAACGCUGGCGGAAUGCCUAACACAUGCAAGUCGAGCGAGGUGUAGCAAUACACCUAGCGGCGGACGGGUGAGGAACACAUAGGAAUCUACCUUUUAGUGGGGGAUAACCCGGGGAAACUCGGAUUAAUACCGCAUACGAUCUACGGAUGAAAGUGGGGGACCGCAAGGCCUCACGCUGGUAGAUGAGCCUAUGUCUGAUUAGCUAGUUGGUAGGGUAAUGGCCUACCAAGGCGACGAUCAGUAGCUGGUUUGAGAGAACGAUCAGCCACACUGGAACUGAGACACGGUCCAGACUCCUACGGGAGGCAGCAGUGGGGAAUAUUGGACAAUGGGCGCAAGCCUGAUCCAGCAAUUCCGCGUGGGUGAAGAAGGCCUUCGGGUUGUAAAGCCCUUUAGACAGGAAAGAAAAGCCGUAUUUGAACAAUUUACGGUCUUGACGGUACCUGUAGAAUAAGCACCGGCUAACUCUGUGCCAGCAGCCGCAGUAA